This 522-nucleotide ribosomal RNA is filed under the name uncultured Glomus. RNAcentral describes it as "SSU rRNA". It matches the Rfam family "Eukaryotic small subunit ribosomal RNA", at positions 569 to 1092 of the family's 1831-position model. Lineage: Eukaryota; Fungi; Glomeromycota; Glomeromycetes; Glomerales; Glomeraceae. The record is from RNAcentral.
AGCAGCCGCGGUAAUUCCAGCUCCAAUAGCGUAUAUUAAAGUUGUUGCAGUUAAAAAGCUCGUAGUUGAAUUUCGGGGUCAGUAGGUCGGUCGUGCCACUGGUAUGAACUGGUUUUACUGAUUCCUCCCUCUUGAAGAACUGUAAUGCCAUUAAUUUGGUGUUGCAGGGAAUCAGGACUGUUACUUUGAAAAAAUUAGAGUGUUUAAAGCAGGCUUUAGCUUGAAUACAUUAGCAUGGAAUAAUGAAAUAGGACGUUUGAUCCUAUUUUGUUGGUUUCUAGGAUUGACGUAAUGAUUAAUAGGGAUAGUUGGGGGCAUUAGUAUUCAAUUGUCAGAGGUGAAAUUCUUGGAUUUAUUGAAGACUAACUACUGCGAAAGCAUUUGCCAAGGAUGUUUUCAUUAAUCAAGAACGAAAGUUAGGGGAUCGAAGACGAUCAGAUACCGUCGUAGUCUUGACCAUAAACUAUGCCGACUAGGGAUCGGAUGAUGUUAAUUUUUUAAUGACUCAUUCGGCGCCUUACG